CCUGCGCGCGGCGGCAAGACGGAGGAGGAGGUGGUGGUAGUUGGUGACCGCAGCGGGACUCCGUAAGGCUCGUGGGGGUGCUGUUGGAGGAGAAUCGCUGGCCCCACCACAGUAGCAGCGUCCCCGGCUCUGUUCCUGUCGCUAAAGGGGCUCUGGGCAGCGUGGGGGUAGCAGCAACAGCAGCAGCUUCCAUCGCCGGGACGGAAGGUGAACAGCUGCAGCAGAGCCAGCCUUGUGCGCCAGGGAGGACCCGCAGCGUCUCCUCCGGGACCCGGGCAGGAUAACCUAGGCAAGGCAAUUGGAGGAGCAGCAGCCGCGGCUUCACGGAGAGGAUCCCAAGCGGAGCGUGCCGAGCGGCGAGAGCGAGGAUGCUUGGCGUCUGUCGCCUGCCUUCGCUGCCUCUGGUGGUGCUGUUGCCGCUGCUGCUCAUGCCCGGCGGAGCGCUCCGAAGCGGACUGAGCGGCGCGGCAGGGAGCGAAGUGAAUUUAUUGGACUCCCGAUCAGUAAUAGGGGAUCUUGGAUGGAUUGCCUAUCCAAAGAAUGGGUGGGAAGAAAUUGGUGAAGUGGAUGAAAAUUAUGCACCAAUCCACACAUAUCAAGUGUGCAGAGUGAUGGAACAGAGUCAGAACAACUGGCUUUUUACGAGCUGGAUCUCCAACAGAGGAGCCUCCCGUAUCUUCAUUGAGCUGAAAUUCACCCUAAGGGACUGUAACAGCCUUCCAGGAGGUCUUGGAACGUGCAAAGAGACUUUUAAUAUGUACUAUUUUGAGUCGGACGAUGAAGAUGGAAGGAGUGUGAAAGAAAACCAGUAUAUCAAGAUUGAUACCAUUGCAGCAGAUGAGAGUUUUACAGAAUUAGACCUUGGAGAUAGAGUCAUGAAGCUGAACACGGAGGUGAGAGAUGUCGGGCCUCUGACAAAAACAGGAUUUUACCUGGCUUUCCAGGAUGUGGGUGCCUGCAUUGCUCUGGUGUCAGUGCGGGUGUAUUACAAAAAGUGCCCUGUGGUUGUUCGGAAUCUGGCUGUCUUUCCUGAUACGAUUACUGGAGCGGAUUCUUCACAGUUACUGGAAGUUUUGGGGUUAUGUGUGAAUCACUCUGUGACAGAUGAGCCCCCAAGGAUGCACUGCAGUGCUGAAGGGGAGUGGCUUGUGCCAAUUGGAAAAUGCAUGUGUAAGGCUGGAUAUGAAGAAAACAACAACACCUGUCAGGCGUGUCGGCCAGGAUUCUUUAAAGAUUCGCCCCAGAGUCAGACGUGCACCAAAUGUCCCCCACACAGUUACACACAUGAAGAAGCAUCAACUACCUGCAUUUGUGAAGAGCUCUAUUUCCGAAAGGAAUCUGAUCCACCCACAAUGGCCUGUACAAGACCCCCUUCUGCUCCUCGAAGUGCCAUCUCAAAUGUUAACGAGACUAGUGUCUUUCUGGAAUGGAUUCCUCCUGCUGAUACUGGUGGAAGGAAAGAUGUGUCUUAUUAUAUUGCAUGUAAGAAGUGCAACUUGCACUCAAGUCUCUGUGAGGCUUGUGGCACUCAUGUGAGGUAUCUUCCACAACAAAGCGGCCUGAGGAACACCUCUGUGAUGAUGGCGGACCUGCUUGCUCACACAAAUUAUACCUUUGAAAUUGAGGCUGUGAAUGGUGUGUCUGACCAGAGUCCAGCUGCACGACAAUUUGUGUCAGUCAAUGUAACCACAAACCAGGCAGCACCGUCUCCAGUCACAAAUGUGAAAAAAGGAAAAGUCGCCAAAAAUAGCAUCUCGCUCUCCUGGCAGGAGCCAGAUCGACCCAAUGGCAUCAUCUUGGAGUAUGAAAUCAAAUAUUUUGAAAAGGAUCAAGAGACCAGCUAUACCAUCAUCAAAUCCAAGGAGACAACAAUUACUGCAGAUGGCUUGAAACCUGCUUCAGCAUAUAUCUUCCAGAUCCGAGCACGUACCGCAGCAGGGUAUGGUGGCUUCAGCCGAAGAUUUGAGUUUGAAACCAGCCCAGUGUCAGUAGCUGCAUCCAGCGAUCAGAGCCAGAUCCCUAUAAUUGCUGUGUCUGUUACAGUGGGAGUGAUUCUCUUGGCUGUUGUUAUUGGUUUCCUUCUCAGUGGAAGGCGGUGUGGGUACAGCAAAGCUAAACAAGACCCUGAAGAAGAAAAGAUGCAUUUUCAUAAUGGCCACUUUAAAUUACCAGGAGUAAGGACGUACAUUGACCCACAUACCUACGAGGACCCCAAUCAAGCUGUCCAUGAGUUUGCCAAGGAAAUAGAAGCCUCGUGCAUAUCAAUUGAAAGAGUUAUCGGAGCUGGUGAAUUUGGUGAAGUAUGCAGUGGGCGUUUGAAACUACCUGGGAAGCGAGAGUUGCCAGUAGCCAUUAAAACCCUGAAAGUGGGCUACACUGAGAAGCAAAGACGAGAUUUCUUGGGAGAAGCCAGCAUAAUGGGGCAGUUUGACCAUCCUAACAUAAUUCACCUGGAAGGUGUUGUCACAAAGAGUAAACCAGUCAUGAUUGUGACCGAAUACAUGGAAAAUGGAUCUUUGGAUACAUUUUUAAAGAAGAAUGAUGGGCAGUUCACUGUAAUUCAACUGGUUGGAAUGCUCCGAGGGAUUGCAUCAGGGAUGAAGUACCUGUCUGACAUGGGCUAUGUACACAGAGACUUGGCUGCCAGAAAUAUCCUAAUCAACAGUAACUUAGUGUGUAAAGUAUCUGACUUUGGACUUUCCAGAGUUCUAGAAGAUGAUCCUGAAGCUGCUUACACAACAAGGGGUGGGAAAAUUCCAAUCCGAUGGACAGCUCCAGAAGCUAUAGCCUUCCGUAAAUUCACUUCUGCCAGUGAUGUCUGGAGCUAUGGGAUUGUUAUGUGGGAAGUGGUCUCCUAUGGAGAGAGACCCUACUGGGAGAUGACCAAUCAAGAUGUGAUUAAAGCUGUUGAAGAAGGCUAUCGUUUGCCAAGCCCCAUGGACUGCCCAGCUGCUCUAUAUCAGCUCAUGCUGGAUUGCUGGCAGAAGGACCGGAACAGCAGGCCAAAGUUUGAUGAAAUUGUCUGCAUGUUGGACAAACUCAUCCGGAACCCAAGCAGCUUGAAAACACUGGUGAAUGCAUCAAGCAGAGUGUCAAAUUUAUUAGGUGAACAUAGUCCACUGGGAAACGGUGUCUACAGAUCUGUAGGCGAAUGGCUGGAAGCCAUCAAAAUGGGACGGUAUACAGAGAUUUUUAUGGAAAAUGGAUACAGUUCCAUGGACGCUGUGGCUCAGGUGACCUUGGACAAACCAAGUAGGGGAGUCUUGGUCGAACAUCAACAUGGAUGCUAUGACAGUUGUAUGUAAAAUCCAAUCAAAAAAUGAUGCGGUGGUUUAAAAUAAGUGUUUAUGUUUCUGUCCUAAAUAUUUUAAUAGGGAAAUAGCAGAUCCUUCUCAGGCCUCAGUUUGAAGUUUCUAAUCCUAUGGAAUAUCAAGCAUUCUAAAUGAGUAUAGUAAAUACUUAUUGCAUUUCUCUUAAAUAACAUGUACAUGUAAUUGUUCCUGUACCUUACCUUAGCAUUUAUUACCAUUUUGACACUAGAGGCUAUAUUUCCCCAUGGGCAACACAAAAGUGAGUUAGGCUAUUUUCAGACAUCUUGACAUGCAACCUUCUGCUUUCAAACACCUGAACUGUCCAGUGCAGACUAACACCCACCCACAACACUAUCAAACUGAACUGAUCAAUAGCUAUUGAGAAUUUUUCUAGAAGUCAGUAACUUCUAAAACCUUUUUUAGGAGUUUUUAGACACUUGAAUAAAUUUAAACCCCUUUGGAGCGUUUCUGUCUCAAGAAUGAAUAAAGUUAUGAAUCAAAAUCCUCUGUAUUUUGAGUGCAUUGGUUUAACUGACAAUUACCUCUGUGCAGUAUGUUUAGGAUAUAGUUGUGAGGAUCUCUCAUACUCAAAUUUACCAAGGAAUCAGGGUCACACACUUUUGAGAAAUGCAAUACCUUGUUCUGUUACAACUGUAGAUUUCAGUCCUGCAGAGAGUCAAAGAUGCAUUUAAACCACAGACGUAAACUGAUUUAAUACUCAUCCUCGCUCCCCAGAGAACAUUGGAAACUAUAGUUCUUGUGGGGGUAGCAAGGAUCUCUAGCAAGGAAUUAUUGGCACACUUGCCAAUCUCAAUUCCCAGGAUGUUGUAGUUUUUCCCAAUUGAAUUGGUAGAAAUAUGAUAUCUUUACAUUAUAUAUAAGCCUUAAAAGUUGUUAUAUUGCAAAUGUGGUUUGGGCAAGUUUUAACCAUAACAGGAAACAUUAAUCCCUCACCUUGAUAAUGAGGAGCUUCCUUGUCCUGAUUAAAUCAGCUAUAACUAUGUGGAUUCUACUUCAUGAAGGUGGCUAACCACAUGGAGAGGUGGCCGUGGGGUAGAGGUUCUCAGUAGCCAUUCCACUGCCAAAAUAGCAUCAGAGCCAGACCUGAGCAAAUGCAAAAUCAAUGAUCUGGUUGGCAGGAUGGUUCUAUUCACACUUGUAUCACCAGCUCUUCACAUGUUUAUCAUGUCCAAUACCUUGGUUCUCAGCCCUCAAGUACUAAUAGGGAUGUGCACAAGGCGGUUCAGCUGCACCUCUUAGAAGCGCCAAACUGGCUUGUGGGGCAUUCAAACUGGCUUUGUGGGGCAGGGAGCAGUUCCCUUAAAAUUCAUGGGGUGGGAGCUCCUAACCUGCUCUCCCUUGCCCUGCCACUUUUCUGCCACCAGCACCCGCUUUGCAAAUACCUGCAUGGGGCUGCAGCACUGCUCCAUGCAGCCUCCACAUAGUGGUCAAUUGCAUGGUCAACAUGGUGUUCACGAUGAAAAUGAUGAACCAAGUUUGCCUCUCUGCUGCUUAAAGCACCAAGCAGAACUUCCUAUGGUCUUUUUCUUCUCACCUGCUAGCUCACAUUCUUCCCUAUGACUUACAGUUUCUUCUAUAGAGGAACAUAGUUACAUUUAGAUUCUUGAUGUCUAUAAAAAAUCAACUGCAUGUGAUCAACCUGAAGAAGCCUGUAGGUCUGUGGAGUCUUCAAAUACCUUAUAGCAGUGGCAGCCAGUGGCGAUGAGCUGGGGAAGGGCGUGGAGACUGUGUCCCAGCUGCAUCUCUCAGUCUCGCUUCCCACUCCGCACCAGCUAGCUGCCUCUCUGUCUUUCUCUUUUCAUCCCAAAUUGUGCAGGCUGGUCAGGGAUUACUGAUUGCGAGAUGCAGCUGCAGAGAGUUCUCUGCCUCCACCUUAGCUAAUUGGCUGACACUUUUCUGUCAUAACUUUCUGGUGUACAUAGUGAGUUGUAUACAAAGCUUCCAUUUCUUUGGAGGAAGGAAACCUUUCAAUGCAACUUCUUGAAUUAGAUUUAGGUUAUUCUACCUCCCAGUCCUAUUUUAUGAGACAAAUUAUAAGUUGAACAAACUACUUACUGAUCUUAAUCUUUCUGAUUAAGAUCAGUAAGAUCAGUCCUUGUGCUACAAGUAACAUAAACAAGAUAACCUCAAAUCUUGCUUUAGUAAAGAUAAAAGAGAAGCCAUAUUCUUAAAAAAAUAGAAAUUCUCAGACAUAUUUUCAAAAGCUCUUUUUAAAUAAUACACAUUACUAGCUGUUCCCCAACCCUUAAAGGAAACUACUGUACAGGCAUGCUUAUGACUAAAAAAUGUUUCACAGGAGUUAGAUCAGCGGUGGUAAAACAACAAAAAAAAAACUGGCUGUAAAAUACAUACUAGAUCAUUAUUGCUCAGUCUGAAAAAGCCAAUCUUUGGCUUUUGGAUAAUAGAUAAAACUCAGUCAGUCCUAACUGUCCAGCUAUACCAUGUUCAAAUCCUGUUUGAUAAAACACAGAUUGUUUUGACUUUGUGCCCAGGUUUUGCCUCUUAGUUAUAGUACUGUUAUUUUUCUUAAGUACCCAGGACCAAAGGUUCUGCAUGUGUACCUCCCUGUUCUUGUCAGUAAGCAUGGAGGAGGAUCCAACUGAAUUUUCUGUCCAAGAAUUAUCAUUAUGUCUCAAUAUUUUAUUCUUCUGCCUUUUGUCAUUAGUUUGCCUUUCUUUCAACAGUUUAAAUAAUUUUGAACAUUAAUUUUCUUUUAUAAAGCAUCUCUCUAUCAUUCCUUAAAUUUUUAAUAUUUUAUUCUUCUUGACUAAUCCCUUCCUUAUGGCAAAAUGUAUUACCUGAAUCAGUUUUCUUCUUUGAACAAUUUUAACAUUCACCAUGACACUCUGAGCAGAUAUCAUCUUUUGACCAAUUUGACCAUUUCCCAUCCUAUCCUUUCUAUAAAGCUCAACUACCACAAUCCAUAACAUUCAGUUUUUAUCCAAAUCCCUGUUCACAACAUAAACCACAUAUGAACCAUAUUGAAUAGCCAGUCCCUUUAUUUACACCCAAUUCAUCCUGAAACAUGAACGUCUGCUGACUAACCUUUGUUGGAUAAUAUGCCAGCUCAGUUACCCAUUUCUGCAUUAAUUCAUCCAACAGUGUUUGUUCCUUGGCUCUUCUAUACAAGCCAUACUUUUAGCAAUAGCCUGGACUGAAGCUAAAGCUAUAAACUCUUUUUCUUAUUUAAGGGGUGAGAGUGGAUUUUCAUCUUUUAAAAUAAUUUCCCUCAGGCAAAAAAACUUGUAGGACUGGGGGUUAUCCCCAGAUUGCUGUUCCCUGUCUAGUGAAAAUCAUUGCACUUUGCAUAACAGAAUUAACUAAAAACUUCCCCACUCUGAUUGGUGGACAGAUUCAGGACCCUUUCAGUCUGUCUGGAAUUUAUUUCUGUCUGCAUUAGUUGUUAGUAAAUGCAAAGAAUUCUGAGAGCUAGUUUGCAUCCAUUGCAUCAUGCAAACAGAGAGGAAGAAGUGUGACUCUAAUUUCUACUUUUCUUGUGCCUGCCAUCUGUCACGUGUGAAGUAGCUGUUCAGCAUCUCACUUUUUGUGAGAUCUGUAUGCCCCAGAUGACCUCUGAAGGCCAAGAUCUUAAGAGCUGGUUUCCACAGUGGUUGCAUUAACAUGUAAUGUGGAACUGUGGGUCCAGUGGACCCACAGCUCUGUUUCCUCUCCCCCUGCUUUCCGGUCUGAAUUCAGACAUAACAGAGAGCUCCCUCUCUGCAGUCAGUGAGACUGCAGAGAGGAGGGGGAACUGGUGUUGCAGGCUUCAUUCUUGACUGAAGGACAGCCCAAACAGCCAAUCAUGACUGGAGUUGAGGGAGGAGCUUCCUCCUUCAACUCCGGUUGAAGGGGCAUAGCCUGUGGCUCCUUAUUCAGACGCAAUGCAGGCUGCUUUCAACCUUGGGUUGUGGUGAUGAAACUCACUUAAUCCGAGGGUUCAGACUGGAAUUACAAAUCUGAAACCUUGGGUUCUUGUGGUCUGCAUUUGGACGACAUUUGGACAUAACGCUCAUGGAACUUCUGGCCUAUUCAACUGCAGUUCUGUAUUACAUGCUAAUGCGGCUUAUAUGUUUUAUGUUUCAGAACAAAAUUCCUGAUUUUUUAAAAUAAGUUGUAGUCUAAGGUUUUCUUGCUUCUAAAGGAAGGAUUCUUCUUCUGGAGGAAGAACAUUUUGCUCUGGAGCAAGGUCUCAUUUCUCUGAAAGAAGAUGCUUCCUCCAGAGGAAGAGAACCAUAGGCUUCAACCCUUCAUUGUCAUUGUAUAUUAGUAUUAAUGUGCAUAUACUGAGAAAAAGAUUUCUCCAUAUAGUAACAUUAUGACCACGAGGCUUUAGAUCAAUAACAAAUCAACAGUAACCAAACUGCUGGGCUACUGAACAAAGUACAUUGGGGAAAGUAACAAGGCACAACAUUACAGAACAAAUCAUGUAAUAUAUCAAGGCAGAUCAGAAUGAAAUAGCAGGAAAACCUGUAUGUGGCACAGUAUUUAUGCAAAAACAUGUUCAUGUGCAUUUUAUAUGGGUAGUCUUCUCUGCAUUAAAUUCAGAAGUAACAUUAGAUCAGACUUCCACUUCUGUGUUUAUUGCACAAAACCCCAGCCAUUUAAAAACACAACUGAUGGUGUUGCACAUGUAUUUUGCCAUGUCAGGUUAUUAUUCAGAUUGAGUAGCAGCCACAGUUGUCCUUCAUCUAGAACAGGACUCCUUACUCUGGAGCAAGCACUGUUGUUCCCCACCCCUGCUCUAUAGCAAAAGCAGUUGAAGUCCAAGUAACAAAUUUUAAGGAGUCAAAUCAUCUGCACCAAUAGUAUUUUUGGACUAACAUAAAAAUCCAAAAUAACAAUUUGUCAGCUUCUGCAAUUUACUCUUUAAAUUGCUUCUUUUAUCUACUUAAUUUAAAGAGCACCAUUCCCACCACUGGAUAUUCCCAUCUGCCUAAUCAUUUCCAUCAUUCUCCUUAAUUUGUGCUGUCCUUAUAGUCCUAACAUAUAUAGUAUUACCCUUUUAUUUUAAAAGGUCAUCAGUUUAAAGGAAAACCCUCAACGCUCUCUCUCUCUAUAUAUAUAUAUAUAUAUUGUACCUGAGUUUUGAAAGUAUGAUUCAAGAUCCACAGGCCCCACUUCAGAGGAGGGAGGAAACCAAUCACGACUUACUCAUGCGUCAUUGUUGCCUGCCUAUGUGACAUAUGAAAAACUGUCUUUGGGUUGUAUGCACUUGUAGAUCUUCACACAUGGAAGGUGAAACUUCUAAAUCACUCGUGUUUGCUUUGCUAUGAAGUUGCAAUGCCCUUUUUGACUAAAUUAUUGGCUCUUGACAAUUAUUGACAAAAAUGCAACUGGCUAAUAAAUAAAUUUUAUGUACUGUCAAAUCUAUUAUCUAUAUACUUUUUAGGGCAUACUGACAUACCCUAAAAGCACAUAUUUUCACACAUGCACAAACACAAAAUAUAAAGGCCAUUUUAAAUUAGUAAUAAUUUCAUUUGACAUGGCUUACACAGGGUAUGAUGCCAUUUCCAAGGGGGAAAGAAUACUGCGCAGGACUCCCAAGAAAUGCAUCCCAAGUCUCACUGAAACGCUUUUGGCCUCCCUCAGAAUUCCUCAGAUGCUUUAAACAGACCCUCUCAAAUUCACAUUUAACAUUUUGUGAGGUUGAAAUUUUGGUGGCAGUUCAACGGAAGAGAUCACAUGGUUUAGAACACUGGGACAAAUGGCCUCACUUCCCUAGAGGCCCUCACAGUUUCUACCAGUUGAGGACCUGAUAAUACUGUUGUGGCGGAGGGCAGGGGAGGAAGGGAUUUGAGGCGUCUUGGAGUCACACUUGUUGGGCACCAGAAGAAGAUAAUGAACAGCCUUCAAGAAAUGAAGGUCCAGCUGGUGAAUGGGAUGGUGCCAUUGUAAUGGCUUUUUAUUUAUACUUUUUUAAAAAAAAAAAUCACUUCUUCAAGUGAUUGACUGUGCACUUUGUAAAUUUUGACCUGAAGUUUAUUUUAGCAAAAAAGUUGAAAUUCAAAAAUUUCUUUAAUGCAACAAAAGAACACAGGCCUCAGCCUCAUCAUUUAUCAUCAGUGUUAGAAUUUCCCUUUCAUAAAUGACUUCAUUCUUAUGAAAUAAAUACAGUGUGCAUAAAAUUUAGAAAUAGGUAUAUGCCAUAUGCAAAAUUAGCCAUUUCCUUCCCCUUCCACAGCAACAAAGCCUUCCCACAACACCAUAUGUGUGUGUAUGUACACACAUAUAUACACACACCUUUAAGAAACUGAAAAUGGCAGCCCAUAUUGAUACUUCCAAGAAUUUACUUGAAUGGAAACAUUUCCAGCCAUGCGUGGGCUUACUGAAAACUGCAAUUUACUGAAGUUUACUUCGGCAAAGGAAGAAUACUGAAGAGCAAUAUGAGACUAUUUCUUGACAGAGAUUUCUUGUUUUGUAAAUUUCAAAGAAUGAUGCUGUUGCAUAGUAAUGAAGCCCUAGAGAUCAGUGUACAAACAUUUGUCAAUCAGAUCAAUGUUCAAUGCAAUACAGGGUGUGUUUUUCUUCUUCUUUUAAUAAAUUUAUUUUUAUAGUUGGGAAAUUUAA
Hemicordylus capensis (graceful crag lizard) is the source of this 9899-nucleotide RNA transcript. It is a transcript of the gene named EPH receptor A5, with no coding region annotated. The record is from RefSeq and is a predicted model, not a curated record. NCBI's taxonomy places the organism in Eukaryota, Metazoa, Chordata, Lepidosauria, Squamata, Cordylidae. The transcript has 19 exons.